Molecule: ribosomal RNA, 978 nt
Filed under: human gut metagenome
Description: bacterial LSU rRNA
Rfam family: Bacterial large subunit ribosomal RNA
Source: RNAcentral
CCUAAGGUAGCGAAAUUCCUUGUCGGGUAAGUUCCGACCUGCACGAAUGGCGUAACGACUUCCCCACUGUCUCGACCAGGAGCUCGGCGAAAUUGCAGUACGAGUAAAGAUGCUCGUUAAGCGCAGAAGGACGAAAAGACCCCGGGACCUUUACUAUACCUUGGUAUUGGCAUUCGGUGUGGAUUGUGUAGCAUAGGCGGGAGGCUACGAGUCAUGGGCGCCAGCCCGUGAGGAGCCGUCGUUGAAAUACCGCUCUGUUCGCAUUGGAUGUCUAACCUCGACCAGUCAUCCUGGUCAGGGACAGUGCCUGGCGGGUAGUUUAACUGGGGCGGUUGCCUCCCAAAGAGUAACGGAGGCGCUCAAAGGUCCGCUCGGCCCGGUUGGCAAUCGGGUGUCGAGUGUAAUCGCACAAGCGGGCUUGACUGCGAGAUCGACGGAUCGAGCAGGGACGAAAGUCGGAGAUAGUGAUCCGGUGCCGGCGCACGGGCGCGGCAUCGCUCAACGGAUAAAAGGUACCCCGGGGAUAACAGGCUGAUCAUUCCCAAGAGUCCAUAUCGACGGGAUGGUUUGGCACCUCGAUGUCGGCUCGUCGCAUCCUGGGGCUGGAGCAGGUCCCAAGGGUUCGGCUGUUCGCCGAUUAAAGCGGCACGCGAGCUGGGUUCAGAACGUCGUGAGACAGUUUGGUCUCUAUCCUCUGCGCUCGUUGGAAUCCUGAGGAGGCCUGCCCAUAGUACGAGAGGACCUGGGUGGACGAACCUCUGGUAUGCCGGUCGUCACGCCAGUGGCGCGGCCGGUUGGCUACGUUCGGAAGGGAUAACCGCUGAAAGCAUCUAAGCGGGAAGCCUGCUCCAAGAUAAGCAUUCCGUGGAACCUUCGAGUUCCUGUAGUCCCCAUGCAGAACACGUGGUCGAUAGGCCGGACGUGGAAGCCCCGCGAGGGGUGGAGCCGACCGGUACUAAUGGUCGAGAGGCAACCCAC